Molecule: long non-coding RNA, 1847 nt
Filed under: Rhinopithecus bieti (black snub-nosed monkey)
Lineage: Eukaryota; Metazoa; Chordata; Mammalia; Primates; Cercopithecidae
Description: lncRNA (ENSRBIG00000046675.1)
Source: RNAcentral
GGGGAGUUGAAUGUGCUCCUCUGGAGGGACUGAGGGAAGCCAGGGCUGGCUCGAAAGCAAUUUUGCCUAGAUGAAGCUGGCAGCUGGGAACCACUUUCCCUCCUCUUGCCCUCUGCCGGGGAAACUCCAUGACGGAGACAAGGCAGCUGGCAGGGAGAAGCCUCUGGAUUGGGGCUGCUGCAGUGCCAGGCAGGGCCACACAGGAACACAUAGGCCCAGAGGCAGACGCUGAUGCCACCUUUCCUUGCUGAGGACUCCCUAGAAAGGCAGUGCCUUGGGGCCUGCGGGGAAGACUAUUUUUACCUGUAGCACAGAAGCAAAUAUAAAGGAACAGAGAACUAGUGGAAAAGAGGAACUGAAGAGAAAGGAAAUCGCUGGAUUUUGGAGGUUUUAUGAUUUAUCAGCUUAUUCUACGGAAUUAAGCCCUGGGCCUCAUGCCAUUUGUCAGGGGCCUGGUUCUAGCGAAGAUAUGUGUUUAUCCUUUGCCAUGAGAUCCCAAGAGUCUCCCAAAAUAUUGUGGGCCUCAGAACUGGUUUCUCUGGGUGGCAGAGGAUCAGCACAUAGGACAGAAGGAACCUGUUCCUCAGAGAUCCAAUUGGCAUCUCCCUUAAGCCUUUUGCUGCCCUCCACGAACCCAUCCUUUUGUGUUGCCAGCUCCAUGUCCCCGUUCCGGGGGAGGCCAGAAUGACACAGCUACAUGUCACCCCGUAGUCUACAAUGAGGGGAAGGAGCUGUGUCCCUGCUGGAAUUGAAAAACAUCCUUGAGGGCUGCAACUUUUACAGGGAAGGUUACCAUGCCAACGACAGCCUCCUUGCCUGACAGGGAUGAAAGGAAACAAGGCCGUGGGUGACAUGCAUCUAUUGUGUGUCCACAAACUUGCCUGGAAUCUAUCAGAGGCUGCGGACUGCUGCUCAGCAGGAUGGAACAGGAGGAUUCAGGAUGGUCUAGGAGGUUACCUAUGCUCUGGGGUAGAUAGAGGAGGGCAGCAGUCACGGAUGGCAGGUCACUGGGGCAGUGGGGCCACAGGCGUGCCUAUGGAAAAGGCUGUCUUGGCGAGGAGGCCCCAGAGAUGCCUAAGGAGGAGCGUCUCCCUCAAGGGGCAGGGCUUCCAGGGAGAAUGGCCCUCACUCCCGAACACGGAAAGGGCACAGAGGACUGAGGAGCUGGCACUGCCAAAGCACCUACGCCACGUCAGGCAGUUGACACAGCCCCCAUUUCAUUUAAUUAUCUCCACAAACCUGCACAGCAGGAACUCUCACUCCCAUUUCACGGAGGAGAUGAGGACACAGGCUCAGGAGAAGGUGAGUACCCAUUCCAGCAUCACCCGACUGGCAAGGGGAGACCCUGGGGCUGGAACCCCGCUGUCUGAACUGGAAAGGAAAACUCCAGAUUCAGGGUGCCCUAUUUUCUUCCGGAAAGAUCUCUCCCGAAGCCGUCCGCUCCUCGUUCUGCCCUUCGUACAGGCUUCCCGGGCCCGAGACGGCUGGGAAGAGGCUAAACGCGCACGUCCAGCAGGCGUCUGGGAAACCGCUCCUCCAGCCUGCAACUGCGAGGGCCCAGAGCUGCCACGCGGGCCUCCCCCGCAGCCUCUCGUUUCACUACAGCCUCCGGAGAGGGCCCGAGGCUCAGAGACGAAGCUGGAGCACAACACACCCUGCUGGAGGUUGUUCAGCGACCCCAGCCUCGGACCUCCAGCCACACAGGCCUCCGCUCCUCGCCGGCCGCUCUCCCCUGACAGUUGACAAGACAGCUGUCACAAAGUCCAACUUUCUGCUGGGGAGGAGACAAGCAAGUCCCCAUGUGGCCAGCUAGACCAGCCUGUGAGCCUGUGACUGUUCUGCCACAG